RNAcentral lists this transfer RNA (74 nucleotides) under Phycisphaerae bacterium. RNAcentral's name for it is "tRNA-Gln". It matches the Rfam family "tRNA". From Rfam's summary of the family: Transfer RNA (tRNA) molecules are approximately 80 nucleotides in length. Their secondary structure includes four short double-helical elements and three loops (D, anti-codon, and T loops). Further hydrogen bonds mediate the characteristic L-shaped molecular structure. tRNAs have two regions of fundamental functional importance: the anti-codon, which is responsible for specific mRNA codon recognition, and the 3' end, to which the tRNAs corresponding amino acid is attached (by aminoacyl-tRNA synthetases). tRNAs cope with the degeneracy of the genetic code in two manners: having more than one tRNA (with a specific anti-codon) for a particular amino acid; and 'wobble' base-pairing, i.e. permitting non-standard base-pairing at the 3rd anti-codon position. The record is from RNAcentral. Lineage: Bacteria; Pseudomonadati; Planctomycetota; Phycisphaerae. RNAcentral also lists the same sequence under 1 other name.
UGGGGAUUGGUGUAAUGGUAGCACGGCUGACUCUGGAUCAGCUAGUCGGGGUUCGAGUCCCUGAUCCCCAGCCA